UGGGGAAUCUUCCGCAAUGGACGAAAGUCUGACGGAGCAACGCCGCGUGAGUGAAGACGGCCUUCGGGUUGUAAAGCUCUGUGAUCCGGGACGAAAGAGCCUGAGGUGAAUAGCCUAAGGAAGUGACGGUACCGGAAAAGCAAGCCACGGCUAACUACGUGCCAGCAGCCGCGGUAAUACGUAGGUGGCAAGCGUUGUCCGGAAUUAUUGGGCGGAAAGCGCGCGCAGGCGGCUUCCUAAGUCCAUCUUAAAAGUGCGGGGCUUAACCCCGUGAUGGGAUGGAAACUGGGAAGCUGGAGUAUCGGAGAGGAAAGUGGAAUUCCUAGUGUAGCGGUGAAAUGCGUAGAGAUUAGGAAGAACACCGGUGGCGAAGGCGACUUUCUGGACGAAAACUGACGCUGAGGCGCGAAAGCGUGGGGAGCAAACAGG
RNAcentral lists this ribosomal RNA (429 nucleotides) under Fusobacteriota bacterium. RNAcentral's name for it is "Fusobacteria bacterium partial 16S ribosomal RNA". It matches the Rfam family "Bacterial small subunit ribosomal RNA", at positions 355 to 776 of the family's 1533-position model. Lineage: Bacteria; Fusobacteriati; Fusobacteriota. The record is from RNAcentral.